AUGGACCUCCAUGCCCGCCUGCUGCGCCGCGGCUGUGUCCUCGGCUUUCCCAGGAUCCGCCGCAAGGCGCCGUUCCCUGGGCUCACCGGCCGACGCCGUGGAAGGCAGGUACGUGGGAGGACUCCACCCUCCUCAGGCUGCGCCGCCCUACGUCCCUCACCUCGAUUGAAGCUGCCCGCUUCCUCCAGCCGCUCGCCGAUGGGGAUCUACCGGCCGCCCGGCCCCGCGCCGCCACAGUCCAGGAAGGAGAUAUCGCCGUGCGGGCGCUUCUUGAGCUCGGGAGAGGCACAGGAGAAGGAAGAGGCAAAAGGGAGAUCAUCUACAUUAAUCUCCUGUCAAUUAUUGGAAAUCCCAAGUACUUCACGAGCAAAGCACCUAUGGAGAAGGAUGGUAGAAGUGAGUUCAAAAGGGAGAUCAUCCACACCACUUGCAGAUCAGCGGGAGGAGAACAAUCAGUAG
Molecule: ribosomal RNA, 459 nt
Filed under: Triticum aestivum (bread wheat)
Lineage: Eukaryota; Viridiplantae; Streptophyta; Magnoliopsida; Poales; Poaceae
Description: partial small subunit ribosomal RNA
Source: RNAcentral